GAUUAGAUAGUUGGUGGGGUAACGGCCUACCAAGGCGACGAUCAGUAGCUGGUUUGAGAGGACGACCAGUCACACUGGAACUGAGACACGGUCCAGACUCCUACGGGAGGCAGCAGUGGGGAAUUUUCUGCAAUGGGCGAAAGCCUGACAGAGCAAUACCGCGUGAGGGAAGAAAGCCCACAGGGUUGUAAACCUCUUUUGUCAAGGAAGAAGUUCUGACGUUACUUGACGAAUAAGCAUCGGCUAACUCCGUGCCAGCAGCCGCGGUAAGACGGGGGAUGCAAGUGUUAUCCGGAAUCACUGGGCGUAAAGCGUUUGUAGGUGGUUUAGUAAGUCUAUUGUUAAAGCUUGAAGCUCAACUUCAAAAAUGUAAUAGAAACUACUAGACUUGAGGAUAGUAGGGGUAAAGGGAAUUUCCAGUGGAGCGGUGAAAUGCGUAGAGAUUGGAAGGACCACCGAUGGCGAAGGCACUUUACUGGGCUAUUACUAACACUCAGAGACGAAAGCUAGGGUAGCAAAUGGGGAUUAGAUACCCCA
RNAcentral lists this ribosomal RNA (537 nucleotides) under uncultured bacterium. RNAcentral's name for it is "bacterial SSU rRNA". It matches the Rfam family "Bacterial small subunit ribosomal RNA", at positions 239 to 789 of the family's 1533-position model. The record is from RNAcentral.